AGUUUGAUCCUGGCUCAGGAUGAACGCUAGCUACAGGCUUAACACAUGCAAGUCGAGGGGCAGCAUGGUCUUAGCUUGCUAAGGCCGAUGGCGACCGGCGCACGGGUGAGUAACGCGUAUCCAACCUGCCUUACACUCUUGGACAGCCUUCUGAAAGGGAGAUUAAUACAAGAUGUUAUCAUGAGUAAGCAUUUUCGCAUGAUUAAAGGUUUACCGGUGUAAGAUGGGGAUGCGUUCCAUUAGAUAGUAGGCGGGGUAACGGCCCACCUAGUCUUCGAUGGAUAGGGGUUCUGAGAGGAAGGUCCCCCACAUUGGAACUGAGACACGGUCCGAACUCCUACGGGAGGCAGCAGUGAGGAAUAUUGGUCAAUGGACGAGAGUCUGAACCAGCCAAGUAGCGUGAAGGAUGAAGGUUCUAUGGAUUGUAAACUUCUUUUAUACGGGAAUAAACGGAUCCACGUGUGGAUUUUUGCAUGUACCGUAUGAAUAAGGAUCGGCUAACUCCGUGCCAGCAGCCGCGGUAAUACGGAGGAUCCGAGCGUUAUCCGGAUUUAUUGGGUUUAAAGGGAGCGUAGAUGGGUUGUUAAGUCAGUUGUGAAAGUUUGCGGCUCAACCGUAAAAUUGCAAUUGAUACUGGCAGUCUUGAGUACAGUUGAGGUAGGCGGAAUUCGUGGUGUAGCGGUGAAAUGCUUAGAUAUCACGAAGAACUCCGACUGCGAAGGCAGCUUACUAACCUGUAACUGACAUUGAUGCUCGAAAGUGUGGGUAUCAAACAGGAUUAGAUACCCUGGUAGUCCACACGGUAAACGAUGAAUACUCGCUGUGGGCGAUAUACGGUCUGCGGCCAAGCGAAAGCAUUAAGUAUUCCACCUGGGGAGUACGCCGGCAACGGUGAAACUCAAAGGAAUUGACGGGGGCCCGCACAAGCGGAGGAACAUGUGGUUUAAUUCGAUGAUACGCGAGGAACCUUACCCGGGCUUAAAUUGCAACCGAAUAUGGCGGAAACGCUAUAGCUAGCAAUAGCGGUUGUGAAGGUGCUGCAUGGUUGUCGUCAGCUCGUGCCGUGAGGUGUCGGCUUAAGUGCCAUAACGAGCGCAACCCUUGCCGAUAGUUACUAACAGGUCAUGCUGAGGACUCUGUCGGGACUGCCAUCGUAAGAUGUGAGGAAGGUGGA
RNAcentral lists this ribosomal RNA (1174 nucleotides) under uncultured Bacteroides sp. Its description in RNAcentral is "bacterial SSU rRNA". It matches the Rfam family "Bacterial small subunit ribosomal RNA", at positions 10 to 1177 of the family's 1533-position model. Lineage: Bacteria; Pseudomonadati; Bacteroidota; Bacteroidia; Bacteroidales; Bacteroidaceae. The record is from RNAcentral.